Molecule: long non-coding RNA, 312 nt
Organism: Erpetoichthys calabaricus (reedfish)
Lineage: Eukaryota; Metazoa; Chordata; Cladistia; Polypteriformes; Polypteridae
Exons: 2
Source: RefSeq, a predicted model, not a curated record
CGACCAACGUAAUUGUCUUCCCAGUAAUCGUAAACAUUCUGGAGAUUGUCGGGUCUACUCUCGCUCAGUUCAUCGAAAGUGGACCCAACAUCUUCCGGAGGAACGAAACUCAGUGCAAUUAGCAUCUUUGAAUACACCCCCUUGUGUGUACAUAAUGCGCACAUACGCAUCCCACUCUCUUGGCCUCUCUCGCGAUUUUGUCGUGGCGAUUUUGUCGGCGCGCAUUUGUCGAAAACCAGUUAGCGAGUUUGUCGGCGUGAGUUUGUCCGUCGCGGUUUUGUCGCCGCUCAUAUGUCUAUCACGCUUUUGUCA